GUUCCUACAUAGAGAAUUUUCUACUUAUCGCCGAAUCUUUAGUUAGCUUCAAAGAUGUUUUCGCUCGCGAUUUUAAUCCCAAAGACAUUCGUUAUUCGCGUGGAUCGUUUGAUUUGAAAACGAACCGUAAUCGUCUUAACGGCGAAAGCAGCUUAGCAGGUCUCUUGGAACGGAAUCGUUUCAUUAAAAAUAAAUCGACGAGUUAAACGCGGCAUUUUUACUCCAUACCCUCCAUACUAGACGAGAAAACCAAUCCUAUUUUAUAACGUUACUAGAGAAAUCUUAUUGACGCGAAGAAAGGGAGGAAACGAAAUGGGCUAUAACGAACCGAUCGAUGACGGAAGCGCACCUGACUUAAUGAUCCAACUAUCGAGUAUUAUUAAUGCUUUACAGCACUUCUUUAAAAUCAAUUUCUCUUCCCUCUUUUUUUUUGUUUUUUUCAAUUUUUCACGCUAAGAUAUAUUAGAUAUUCGCGCAGAGAUCGGUAGAAAAUUUUCUCGAAUUUUUAAGAAAUUAUCGAUAAGACAACACGGUAUCUAUUUAAAGAUUACGAAGAAAAUUCGCGAUAAGUCGAUUAAUUAAUCAAUUAUAUAUAUAUAUAUAAAAUUUUUUGGAUCGAAGGGCUUUUUAACAAUUUUCUAUAUUACAUCCAUCGAGUUGAAUGUAAAUAUACAGUCUCGCGAAAUCAGGCUUUGUCAAUAUAAAUUUUAAUAUCUGUUUUCUCGGCAAUUUGUACGAAAUGUAAAUAAUGUCGUAUUUCGCAGCGUAUGUAUAUCUCGAGCACUAAUAUUAUCGUGUUUAUAAAUAUUCCCAUCUCCAAUCUUUCCCGCGUAUAUUCGUGUGUAUCGACGACGAACAGUUCAGUGUCCCGCGCGCGACGCAAUCGAACACAAAGCUCGUCGAGCUCCAAUUUCGUUCUUUCGUCGGGCCUUUCGUCGCUUCGAUCGCUUCCUUUUUCGCGUAAUGCACGCACGAAGACCCGCCUUGGAAUUAAAGUUAAAGUGCGCGCACGAUUUAAUCUCGAUCUGGGGGGAAGGAGGGGGAGGGGACGAGCCAUUAAAGCCGAGUGCACGGCCCAUUGUUGCGCGGAACAUUGUCGUUGCGCAGGUGCAAAGCCCUCGAACACACGACCUGUUAUCGGGAUACCAACACGCUAUCUCGAAGGAUUAAUCGCGGCCUCUGCUUUUCCAAAUUUCAUCGAAAUUCCCUCCUAUUGAUCCCGAAUGCGAAUUUUUCGGGACGAGAAUUUUUUUGAUGCGAACACGGAACGCGGCCGGAGAAGAAGAGGAAGGUUAAAGAAAGGAAAGAGUUCCUUUCGGUGAAGGGAGGGAUUAAUUCGCGCGGCUGACACGAGCCGACGAUCGAUCCUCGAAGCGAAAGGGCUGGAUUCCUCCCGUUGACUUUGCAAGGGUUGUUCCGGCCACGUCAAUUUGUCGUGAUUCGAGUGGCGUGUAUCGACAGUUACCCGACCCGGCCAACUUCUGGUUACUUGGUGUAAUUGGCCCCGCACGUAGAUUACCAUGUUACCCACGGGAGGGAAGAAAACCGUUCCUGUUAUCGACAACAAUCCUCGAUUUCUCGUCUCUCCCCCCCUCAAAGUAUCUUUCCCGAGUUUUUGAAACUUUCCCGAAUUUGUCAAAUUGUGCGUGAAACGAGCGUGUGAAAGAGAGAAGAGGAUCGUGAAGAACAACGUGCGCGCGUGUUCUCCAUUAUUUUCAUUUACGACGUCGGGCUUGGUGUCACGGUGUGACGUCGCUCCCUCUCCCCCACCUUUUUUUUCUUUUUUCUUUCUCGUCGGGGAUCGUCCUUGUUGUUGCACGCGCGCGCCACCGAAUCGAAUCACCGCUCGGGGUAAACGUAAUUUCAGAAGGAAUAAACUACGUGGGAACACGAAAAAUCGCCAUUUCGCGGAUGUUGGGCCGCUCGUUAUUAUUAAGGCCUUCGCCCUCCCGCCCUUACACAACCCCUUCUCAACCCGUUCCUUUCCAUCCACGAGGAAUCGCGUUCGCCCGCGUUGUAUCGCGCCGCUACUUUGGGAUCGGCUGGUGGUGGGUCGCUCGUUGCUUUAAUCAUCGAUUUCACGAUGAUCCAGGGACGCCUUCCGACUCGCGUGGGCCGGCCCCCGGAUUUAAUACAUCUCGACCCGUUCACGGCUCGCCACGGUGCUAUUUAUCUGGGCCAACCACUGUUAUUUUUUUCCCCCAUGCCCGCCGCCGUUUCGCCGCACAAAAAAGGAGUUUCGAAACGGCGAAAAGCCCGCCGGCGGGAUGUUCCAACCAACGUCCGACUAUUUCUUUUUUUCUCUCUCCCUCCCCUCCCCCCUUCGCUUUUCGAGUCGCUUCCCGCCGAAUUGAUCCCCGCAUUACAAAGAAACGGGUAUAUAAUCUAUGCAUGGAACUUUUGAUAGACUCUCCGCAUCGGUUUAAUGACCGUUUUACGCGUUACAAAGAGUUCCUCUCUCGCUCGUCACCUCGUUUUUUGGCAGUGUAUUAAAAUUUCAAUUUCGAUCGUCUCUCUCUCUUUUUUUUCUUUUUUUUUUCUCUCCGUAAACGUUCCAUAAACGGUCUCGAAUAUAUCCAUGUUAUAAAUAUAAUAUUCCGAUAGAUUAGCAAAGAGGGGUGGGUAAUUGUGUACGUAUAUAUACGGUUGUUUACAGAGAAAUGUAUAACCCAAAAAAAAAGCAAUCCGCGCGCGUUGAUCGAAUUGCGGUUCGAAUCGAUGUUCGAAACGUGUUACGACAUCACGGAAUGGAAUGAGAGAAGAUGAAAGAUGACUCGUGAAAUGAUCGUGGACGAAAAAUUUGGAGGUUUUUUUUGAAACGUUUUUGUAUUCAAUUCGUUCAAAAAAAAAAAAAAAAGAUCGAGGAAUUCUCCGGACGAAAUCGAGAUUCGUUUCAAUCGUAGGAAUCGUUGUCGUUCAUUCGUCGCGAUUUAACACCUUUAAACAGAGUUGUAUGUACAUUCCACGAUACGUAAAAUUUAUAUAUGGGUUGGGGAGGGAGUCGGUAUCCGAUAAUUCAUCUGCGAUUACACGAGAGCACCGAAACGUCGGGUGGAAAUGUAAUAACGCGCGUAGAUCAAACAACGAGAUCGGUGGUCGGGAUACAGAAGCGAAGGAUACAACAGGGGAACAAAAUUAAUAUUUUAAUAUCGGAAACGAUUAAAAAAAAAAAAAGAAAGGAAAAAUCGCUUUUCCUUUUUCGUUGGAAAAGGUGAUUAAAGAAACGGAGAUUCGAUCUAAAUGCCGAAUAAAACUCGGAUCUAAAGUCUUCCGUAAAAGUUUAUUCAAAUGAUAGCUCGAAACCCGGCGUUUUUCCCCUAUCUAAAAUUCUGCCCGAUGAUUUACGAUAUCCUUAUUUAUGCACCUAGCGUUUAAUAACGGCACAAAACGGAACGGCCACGACGCGUCACGCGACACGCCUCGGGUAUAACCUCGCUAUUUCGAAAAAAAACUUUGUCUCCUUUUGUCUCUUUCGAAAAUCCAAUUCGUCCAUUUAUAAAAUUUUACGUCACUCACUUCCAUUUAAUAAUAAUCGAUACGUUUCGAAUUAAUUUGCAAACAUUUCAUAUUUCGUAUUUCGUAUCAAACUUUCAUUCGCAAUUAAUUUUUCGAUCGAUCGAAUCGUAUUAUUAUCGACGGUGAAACAUUUACAACGAUCGACUUUGGUUUUUUUAAUUUUUUAUAAAAGUUCCUCGUUGAUCCGGAUGAAAAAAAAAAAACUAAAGCGGAACUAAUCCAGGCACGCGUCAGAAAUAUUACCGAUCGUUUACCGAAAUAUCUUGUAAUCGAUGGUUUUUUGGUCGAUUAGAACGACACGAAAGCGCCAUUCGCGUGGAAAAUGGCCAGGCGAAAUGAGGUCCGUGACGGGGGUUACACAGAUUCAGUUUUAGCCAGAAACACGGGACGCGAUUGAUCGAAACCGAAUCGAGGAAUUCAUUCGGAAUUUCCCUCCUUUCGCGACCGAUGGCGAAAAAUCAAUUAACCAAGCCCCGAGGGGAAGAUUAUGAAAAAUCGUUUUGAUUUUAGAUGGUCUGGUAACCUGCGUGACAGCGAAACGGAACGGGAGAGAGGGGGAAGUGCAACGAACAGCGAAUCGGGGUGAUGUAAAACGCGGCUCGUUGAUCCGCGCGCGAGCCGAUUCUUUAAUCGAGGAAGGAAUCUCUUUGUGCGCGAAACAAGCGGGCAGAAUCGGUCUCGGAAGGGACGGGAGCCAGCCGAAAAUCGGGGGACGAGAUCGUGCCCGUACUCUUGCACGUAUUUUCGUCCUCGCGCCCGUUUCAUCCUCUCCUCGACUGGACACGAGCGAAACGAACGAUCUGACAGAGGAAAAAAAAGAAAAAGAAAGAAAGGAAGGAUGUAGGAAGGACGAAGGGAAGAAACGCGUGGAAAAUUGAUCGCUUGGAGAAACGUGAUCGUUCGUUUGUGGACGAAUGAUUACCGUCCGCGUCACGAUGACCAGCGGAAAAGGAGAAUUCCUAUGGGAGAUGUAAUUGGAAAGCUUUCGAAUAUUAAUCGAUCGCGUCUUGAAAAGGCUUGAUUAACGAUUGAUGAUAUUAACGAAACGAGACGAUUAACGUGCACGGAUUACUUUCUCGGCAUUUUCCAUUUUUUUUUUCUUUUAAUUUCGAUUUAAUCGCGGUAUUAUUGUUGAUUAUUUACGUUAAUUAAGAACGGAUAUUAUUUCAAUUGGCGCAUUAAUUGGUUACGUUUGUUCGCUUUUUUCUUUUUUUUUUGAAGCGUGAUAAAUGAGUGUUGGGUAUAUAAUUAAAAUUGCCGUGCAGCAAAUCUGACGAAGAUUGGAAAAAAAAAAAAGGCGGACGCGAUCUGCAAUUUGUUUCAGUCGGAACGAGCAAUUAAUCGAUCUUACUUGUUGUCUACGUACUUCGUCACGAGGAGUUCGAUCCGCUCGUUUUGCGAGUAAGAUGCCGCGAUUACGUUCCACUUCAUAGUUGAAUGGGUUGUAAAGUAAUUUCAUUCUUCGAUGCUUGUUUUUUAGCGCGGAAUUUCUAAACGAGCAUUUUAUGUUCUUCGUUUUAAAUCUCUUUCUUUUUUUUUUGGAAACGCACGAUGCUAAAUUCGAUAUUAAAUUUUUUCGAACAGAAAUCUAUCUUGGACGAUUCGAUUUUUUAUCGUGGUAUAACAUUUACGUUUAUAUAUAUUUUCGUUACGCGAAUAGCUCGUAACGAAAACAUAUGUACACAGUGUAAAUAAAUGGAAAAGAUUUAGUGCAGAAUCUCGAAAGGAAAUUGAUUUCAGAUUGUGUCGUGAUUGCUGUGAGACGAAAGGGUGUGACGAAUGUCGACGAAAAAGCCUCUGUUCCAGAAAGAAUUUUCCCCAGGAUAAUUUCCCUCGCAGACACCAUAAGGAUGUGUGUGCGACGAUCAUGUCAGAGUGGAGAAACAAGAGAACACAACACAACAGGAGCAUCUCUUCCGUAGCAUUCCGGACGGUGACAAGAGUAAAGGGGAAAAAGAUCCAUGGCAGCACACACGUUCUGGCGUUCUUUUUAUAUGUAUGUAUAAUUUUGUUUUUUUUUUUUUUCCUUUCCAUUACGAAUCAGACCUGGAAUAGUAGCGUCGCAGAAGGAAUUCUUAACUCGCGAUAUGUUAUUCGUAAUAUAACAAAUAAUUAUUAUUCUCUAACGAACGAAUCUCAAUCGAAAUUUCGUUUAUCUUUCGUAAAAAUAUCACGUUUUAAAAUCUCCUUCUGCGAAUUCUCCAGUUACCGUCACGAUCGUGAUUCUCAUCAACGAUUUUUCGAUUAUAUAAAUCGAAGAUAAAAAUAAAUGGCUAAAUGCAAUUAUGCAAUUAUGCAAUUACGUAAAAAUUCGUAAUUUCGAUCGAAUGGAAAUCUCUAAUGGAUCAUUGCAACGAAUCCGCUAACUGGCCAACGCAAAGCGUUGCAAUGAUCGAGUAUAUAAAAGGUAGCACGAUCGUGGCUGUAACCAGCUGUACAAACAUCCACCAACUCUCUCCAUAAGAGUUUUAUGUAUUACAUAAUAAACUUGUGGCAUGCAAUUUGGUCGCUUAUGUGUCAAUAUGGAGCAAGGAUAUCACGGGAGGUGCGAUAUGUACAUUGCUUAUUUACAAAAAAAAAAAAAAAAAAAGAAGAAGAAGAAAAAGAAGAAAUUCUCAGUUUUCUCAGUAGUGUUACCAGUAGUAUUCGCCCUCGUAAAUUUUCGCCCGUUCUCGCCCUACCUGUACUCUGUUCUACCGAUUUCCUACCCUUAUAUAUAUCCGCCAUUCCCUUACCACCCCUACAACCCUGUUCCACGAGAGUAACGAGAAAUAUUCGUUGGACUUUCGCCGCGUUCUCGUGAUUGGAAUACUUUUAAGUACCUAACUGGGAGCUCUCUAACUCUCUUGCCUUCUCUUUCACUGCAUCUCUCUCUCUCUCUCUUUUUCUCUCUUUAUCCUUUUCUACGUUCAAGUCUCUUCCUCUUAAUCUGCCAGGGGAUUAAACGAGUUUUGUCGAGAGAACUUGAGGAUAGGUAGAGAACGUGUGCGGAUACAUUUUGCGUGUUGUUCUUAAAACGAGAUACAUCGAUGGAUAUGAUACGAUAAUAAGACAAUUGUUGUUGAUAUGAUCGUUGAUUCUUCGAAUAUGAAUUUGAGAGAUUUCGAUCGAUGUCUCUCUCGUUUGCAAAAAUUACAUGGUAAAUAAAUUUUUGGAUAAUUAAAUUUCCUUUCCUUAAAAAAUUUAAAAAUUAAUCUUGGAGAAUUGUUUGCGAUUAUCGGGGACGAGACAAACUGAUUUUCUUUCCUUCUUUUUUUUUAAGAACGAUAUUUAAGCGAAUUUUAUCGAAGCAGCGUAGAAAAUUGCGUAGAAAAUAAUAGAUUUUUUUUUAUCGAUCAAUCACGAUGUCGUAAACGCGUUCUCACGAUGGUCUCACGUUGGGAGCCGCAAUGCGUUAAUAGUUUAUCGACGGUCGAAUGCUUGCUCGCCAAUUACAGUCCACGUCUAUUAACCGUUUCGACCGGCCAUUUAAGGCAACUAAUGAAAAUCCCGGCGGAGUAAGCCUCGUUUUGCUCUCGAUCGUCCUACACGAGAGAAAAAAUUCCGAGAGGGUAACCGGACAAACAUGUUGGAGUGUAUUUUUUGAAUAAAAAAAAAAAAAAGAACGAAUGAAAAAUCCGAAUGAGAAACGCUUUCAACGAAGAACAUCCAGAGAGACUAGAACGAGACGAAGAGAGAAAUUAAAGAGAGAGAGAGAGAGAGAGAGAAGGGUUAAAAAUCGGGCGAAAAAGGUGAGAGAGCGACCGCGACAACGACUAUGAUCGCGUUAACGUUUUUUCAAUUGAACGAAAGAGUUAAUUUCGCGAUAAUACGAUUAUCGAGGGAAUUGGCGCGGCUGCAAUUAGUUUAGGCUAAAUGCGAAGCCCGGGAUUGCGGGUCGAGAUUGGAAAGGGCCGGCGAAAAAAAAUACAGAUUGAUCGAAUUAAAGGAAAUCGGCGGAGGGAGGCAGCAUGGCGGGUUGUAAUUUUCGAUCGGUCGAUGGAGAUUGACACGGCUUAUUCCAUGCAAAUGCAAUUAUCGUGGAGAGUUUCGAGUUCGCGAGAAAUUAGUCGGAGAAACGAGACGAGUCGACUUUUCGAGCGACGAUCUGCCUUGCUUCCCCCGUGAUCUCGGUUUUAUCGAAACGAAUAUAAAUAAUAUAUAUUUCGAUCGAUAUUUGUCUCAUUGUCUCCUCGAUAUUGAUGCGCGUUCUUGAAAAAUUGCUCGUGAAAAUAAGAAUUUUUAUCAAUAACGAAUAUCGAAAGAACAGAUCUAGCUCUGGCAUAAGCGUUUCCCCCAUUAACGCGAUGUGUUUACUUACGAUUUUUCUCUGACUCGUCCCUCUGUUUUCAGGUAUGUAUGAAACACCGCAAGGAAACUCACUACACGAGAGAAUGAAAGGAUAAACACGGAUAACUAUCGAAACCUUCCCCUUAAUACGCGAAAACGUAUACCGAAAGUUGAUCGUUUCAUUAUUAGCCGCUCUCUCAUCCCGAUAAAACGGAGGAAAUUGUUUAUCAACGAACCGUGCAGCAAGGAACCAAGGAACCAGGGAGGAUUUCCUUCCCAUUUUUCCUCUCACUUUGUCUUCUUCUCGAUCGCGGGUUUGGAUUUUGAUAAAUAUCAAGGAGAGGAGGAUGGAGGAGACAUCAUGGAAGACGUUCUCGUAAUUGUUCCCGGCCCGAGAUUAGGUCCGAUGAUUGCGAUACGAAAUUACGUUCUUCUCACGUUUCCCUGCCACGGUUAAUUAUCCUCCUUGGAUACGAUGACGAAUCGUGAAAUUGUUUAAUGUAUCUACGUCGGAUCGAUUACGCCGUAUCACAUCCCCCUCCCCGCGUACCGUGAAACAAUCUCUUUUCUCUGCCUACCCUCGCCUUUUUUCUAUUCCUGUCUCUCUUCUUCUUGUUGUUCUCGUCCAUGCGUCUUUCCUUCUUUUUUAUUUUUUUUCAUUUUUUUUAUUAUUUUUUUUUUUUUGUUCUUUUCUCUCAUCGAUCGCUCGUUAUUAAUUGGCAAACUAACAAGCAGUCAGGAAUCAGAAAACGUUGAAUUUAAUUUCCGAACGUAACGAGAAUCGACACGCGUCCCGCGUGUAUCAGUUUGUGUCAUCGAUUAUCGUCGGUGUACAACGGUGACUGAAUAGAAAUAUCGCGAAAAUAUAAAUAUUAAGAAUGCAAACAACGAUCGUGCUGCUCUAAAUACACACAUACAUAUAUAUAUAUAUUUUAUUUUUUUUUUUAUUUGCAUCAUUCAGUCAAAUCCAGGCGAUCGUGUCGUGUUUGUUAAUCAAAUAUUAACGUUCGUAAUUCCUCCAGUCAGUGAUCGUGACUGCAUUCGCGUUAAAGAAUCUUUAAAGAGGUACGUUCCUUCUUUUUUAUUUACUUUUUAUAAUGCUUCGAAUGAUGAAUGAUUAAACGUCGCUGAUUCUCAAUCGCGAUAAAGAAAAAGAAGGAGAAGAAGAGAGAGAGAGGAAAAAAGAAGUUUAUAUCUCUGAAAAAAGAAGUUUAUAUCUCUAGAAAAAAAGAAUCCUGAAGGAUCUCCAAGUUUUCGAACUGGUUCCCUGGUUGGUCCGAGUUAACGAGGGGAAUCGAAUCAUCGAGUGGCUAUUAGCGCAAUGUAAUUACUCCGCGAUUGCGCAACCUGAUGGAAAGAAUCCGUUCCCAGAAGGUUCAGGACAGCAAGCCUUUCCUCGAUGAUCAUUUUCUAUUAUGAACCACGUGUACCACGCGUUGAAAAAUUUGAAAGAAUGGAAUCUUUGUCACGUAAAUAUUAAAUUAAUAAUCGCCAAUGAAAGGAAAAUCAAGAACGCAAGGUAUAUUUCGAGGGACAAAAAGGGUGCGUCAGAGGAAGGAAGGGAGGAAGGUUGGGCACGGAAGGAGGACGGCUCUCAUAAAUUUCCCAGACCGGACUGGAACAAAAGGACGAUCGUACGCCGAACAAACCGGCGUAAAAAAAAAUCGUCCCUACGUGCAUAUAUAUAUAUAUAUAUAUAUAUAUAUAUAUACAUAUACAUAUAUACAUGUAUACGUAUAUAUCUUGAUUAAUUCAGAUACUGUACGUUCGUGUUGGUUGCUCUCUCGCGAGGGGAUACUCUUGUUGCGCAGACAGUCGAGAAGAGGAGGGAAACGCGGUUGAAACGCGGUUCCCGUGCCCUCCUGGUCCGACACGACGAGCGACGGGGAAGCAGGAAGAAAGAGACGUCUAAUGCACAUCUACGGCUAUCACGAACGACAUAAUUGCGAGGUAUACUUCAUUAAAUGAGAUCGUCUGAGUCGGUGGGCGUGUACGCGCCCCGUCUCGUCAACGUUGAUUCCCGGUCCUCGCGCUGCCACGAUGUGUUGCACGUACACGUACACGCUCGUGCACACAUCUGAAGGAAAGAGGGCGGCCGGGCUCUCUUUCCAACCCCCACCGCCCGUCUCUCCCGAUACGUACGCGAUCUCUUCUCCGCUCUCCGUUCCUUUUUCUCACCUUUUUCUCCCCCGCUACAUCUGUCCAUCCUCUUUCGAUUCGCGCGCGCCGCCGGUUCACGUACACGCGGGCACACACGCCAGGUUUAACCCUCUCUGCGACGACGAGCGUACUCCACUCGAAAGCUUUGACAUCGGAGACGUCGGCAAGUACAUCCGGUGGACGGAUUUAUCGGAUAUUCUUCCCCCGUUCUCAACGAGGGGAGGGGGGCAGACGAAAAAUUUUAACCGCGAUAGUAGAGAGAGAGAGAGAGAGGAGUUAUUAUCGCGUCGAAGAGAAUUUUUGCGACGAUUUCAAGAUUCCAAGAUUGCGUUGUAAAAAUUGUCCCACGGCGAGUUUUGGCGGAAGCGAAUUUUGCUUCGAAAGGGGGAUGUUUAUUAAACGCAUAAUAUUCGUUGGAAAAAGAAAAAAAAAAGAAAGAUCUCCGCCGCAUGAUCGACUCCUUUGUUCACGGCUUGCUCCGCGUUUAAUUGCUAAUUACAAAAUUCUUUGUUACUCCCAUCAGUGUCAAAUUGUUCUUUUCUACGUCGAAGAGGAGGAAUUUUGUUUAAUUAGUCUGCAAGUCUUUCCGCCUCGUUGCCUCCGUCGCCUCCGCUCUCUCUCUCUCUCUCUCUCUCUGCAGUCUCUUGAUAUCGGUAUUCCUUUUCCCUCUCAUUUCGGAACACGAUCGAGAGAAGUGUAUUGAUUGUCUCCGUGUAUGCGAGCGACGCGACGAGUGACAUUUUAUUGGGUUUAAUCAAGAAGAGAAACUGUCGGCAAUUUUGCUUGUAUACCUUGGUAUAAUUACCGAUUGUACUGUCCUCUUGGCAUUAUUAGAGGAUAUCGAACACGAGGAGCACAAGGAUGAAGAGUGAGAUGAAAGGAAAGGCGGAAUAAUUGUACGCAGAAGAGCGCGCAAAGAUGCAAGGGCCCGAGGGACCGGUCUUCGAGUCCAGUUCCGAUCGGUCGUACGUCUUCUUGAGAUACUGCUCGUAUCGAGUUUCCUGGAGGAUCGACGUAUAUCGUUCUCCACGUCGGCGUGGGGGCAAGAAACGACGAGCUGUAGAACGCCGUUUCCCACUGCGGUGGACGCAGCGUUUCGCGUACGGUAUGUAGCCGUACGGGACGACACCGCCCCCAUGGGUCAAAGACCAUUGACGGGGAGGAGGGAGGAAGGGGGGCUAAUAAACGUAGCACGUGUCUUCCCCAUCGAGCGGAAACUUGUAAAUGCAGCUUCGAUACUACGCUGCGCCGAGUUAAUUAAAGAAACAAUGUGUCCAAUUCUCCCCCGCUCUUUCUCCCCCGCUGCUUUCAAUGGAUCGAACGAUAGAAUUUUAUAACGAACUCGUGCACUCGACGGAAAAAUUGUUCCUCUUCCUCUUCCCCCCCUCCUCUCCCCGUUAACUCUUGUGUAAUUUAAUAUUCCAUAACUUUUUUACUCCCUCCCUUACUCCCGUAAAUUUUUCCUCUGUAAAAAGGAGUAAUCGUGUAAACGAAGGAAACGAAUUGGAAGAACGGCGUAGCCAUAAUAUGUACCAGUAAUGGCUUUUCUGUUACAGUAUAUAUAUAUAUAUAUGCAAUGUACGGACUAUAAAAAAGUUGAAAUGUUAAGUGAAAUUGAUGAAUUCGUGAUGUAGAUUAAACGCGGUAUUAAACUCGAAGGAUUAAUAUGAAAAAUUCAUCCGCUUGAUAUCGUAUUCCGCGAAUUUUCCCAGCGCGUUUGCAAAAUUGCACGGAUUCACGUUCGAAUUUUAAGGGGAGAUUCUCUUUAAUCCAGCAUGGCGGAAUGAAAAAGAAGAAGAAGAAGAAGAAGAAGAGGAAGAAGAAGAAGAAAGCAGGGUUAGGAUAAAGAAUCUACGAGCGCGUUUUAUAAGAUUUCGAGAGUGACUUAAUAAGUUGUACGACUGUGCUCAUCGAGCGAGAAAGUAGCGUCGGGAAUCGCUGAAAGAAGACUAAUGAACUUGUUGGCUCAUGGCCGAAAAGAGGGUCAUUUCGUGGUUCUUAACCACGGCUUGAAUAAAACGGUCAUUUUGUUCUUGGCAACUUGGUUUGAAAUUUUCAAAAAAAAAAAAAAACAAGAAAAUGCAUCCGCCAUGCCGGUUGACGAGGAAUUUGGUUGGAAUAUUAAUUGUUUUAUAAAGUUAAAUUAACGAUAAAUUUUGAAUCUCUUUUAUUUAAAUCUUUUUAACGCGACACGAUACUUAUUAGACACUUUUCCCCGAUUUUCAUUUUCAACUUUGUCUAUGAUUUUCGGCAUAAUUAUUCUUAUUAAAUCGUCUACAGUUUCCGAAAUGUGCUUCUAAUGAAAAUGCACAGUCGGUCAAAAUUGAUCGUAAACGGAUUGGUCAGUGCGAUCGACAACCAGUGACCGCGUUCAAUAUACCGACUUAAAUAAUAAACGGUUCUCGGGGACACAAUGUAAACGCGUGCGUGUAUCUUGGUUAGCGAAGUACACAGAAUGAGGAAAUCGGGCAGCGAAAUGCUUGAGGAAGAUCAACAACGCGUUGAAUCGUUGAGGUGAAGUGGAAAGUUUGGACAGGAGCGAAGGCGGUUCACUUGGUCUAAAAACUUUCUAAAUUAGAGUAUAGUUUGGAAGGCAAAGAGUGCAAUGAUUUUUAACUAGUAUUCUUUUGGUAAAAAUUUCAGAAAAUUGGUUGGAAGUUUAAUUUAAAAAAGAAGUAAGUUGUUUAGUUUUAUUAACCACAGGCGACCUCAAGCUGAUUGAAGUGGAAUAUUAAAAAAAAAAAAUGCGUCGAAGGGAAUAUUAAUUGGCCAGCAGGAAAAAUUUGUUAUUGAAAUUAAAGAAGAAACUAUUAUCUAUCGUUACCGACCAUAAUUGGACUGCGUAGUUUUUGUUAUAUUGGUGGAACGAGAUUAAUUUUCAAAAUUGGUAAAUCUCGACAGCGUAAUGAAGAUUUGAAAAGGUUGCGUAAUAAUAUUGCUCUGAAAAUUUUUAAAGGGACGUGCAAAGGAUGCUGUAAAAUUAUUUUGAAAUUUUUUAAUAAACGACAAUAAAACAAAACUCGAGGAUGUAUUCCAACAAUGUUGCAACGCCUCUAAAGAAUGCGAAUUUGCGAUGUAUGGGGCGGAUUGCAACUCUGAAUAUGUGUGUGUCCUUUAUGUUGGUUUGAAGCUAUAGUUGUGGUUUGUAACAUUGUUGCAGUGCGCCAAAAUUAAAUGGAAUACUAGAAACACGACGUGACCAUUUUAACAUUGCCGUACAGCUCGAAAUUACUUCGGGAAACUUAGAGGAAUUAUGCUACUAAUUGAACUUACUGUCAAAGAUCGUGAAAUGUAAUAAUUGUUUAAAAUUGGAAAUUAGUAUAAACUAUCGUAUUUUUCGUGUAUUUAAUUUAUAAAUACACGUUUAAUUUACAAUAUUAUUUUACUCGUCUAAAACAAUAUUGAAUUAUAAACAUAUCGAAUAUAUUUUCUAUUAUAAAUGAAUCUUAUGUUACUAUAUUCAUUAAUUUAAAUUCGAUUGAUUAUUAUAUUUGUAAUUUAAAUUCGAUACAUCUUCGCGCGCUAAUUACAACGCAGAACUCCCGCUCGAAAAGUAUCACGUGACCCGUCAUGCGCGGUGUCAUGUCGUUAAUUGCUCGUUGUGCGUAAUAAGUUGGAAUUGACAAGCCUUAGUGAAAUUUGUGAAUAAUACGAUAAUAAUAAAGUUUUCUGUGCGAAACAAGUUCUCUAUUUCCUGUAAUUAUCUACUCUGAAAGUGCAAACAGAUAUCACGUGAUUUUCCUGAAAUUAAAGAAUCAUCAAUUCAAGAAUCAUGUUCGCCAAAAUUUCGAUACUACGCAGUUCGUGUAUUUGCGUUGCAAUUUUUCUAACCUCUACGACGCUUUCGAGUUCAUCGUAUCAAGAGUCUGAAGACGAGGACGACGACGACGGGUAUCGGGGAAGACGUCGCGCGAUGAUCCUUGCUUGGCACGGGAUUACACGCGGGAAUCGGGGAUCGUGGGACGACGAAGGUUGGUCCAGGAAGGUAUAAGCUCUCCUCUCUCUUUCGACGAUGAAAGCUUCCUUUUGUCUCUCGUCGUGGAUAGCGUUGUUGCUGCUGGCACGUCUCCACGCCGUGCACGAUAAUAACCCCCACUGUGGUGGUAUACGAGAUCCUUGCUACGUUUCUCCCCCGGAUAUUGCGACUCCGCCUUGUUGUUGCGGGACAGAUCCGCAUCGCCGACGCGGAACGUCUCCUCGUCAUCUCCUCGUCCUCCUCCUCCUCCUCUUCCUCUCUCUUUCUCCGUGUAUACGUACGAAUCUGUUCGUUGAAACGGGCUCCGUUUCUGUCUUUGAUCGAUGCCCGGCUACGGUCUGAUAAAGGAAACAGCGCGCGCAUCUGAUCAAAGGGGUUGCUCCCCACGACGCUUUCGUUUCGAUUCCAAGGUAUUUAACGUGCCCCUCGCUAAUUUCCUAGUAAGGAAUCGAUACGAAUCGAUAGCAGUGGGACAAUGGAGGAGGAAAACGAUCGAUGAGGAUUCCUGGUACAAUAAUAUAUUCGAGGAACGCUGUUGUUGUUGUUGUUGUUGAUAUUGCGUGCAGUGGGAGCGUGGUGAAAACAUUGUGAGUUUCGCAUCGAGAGUUUGGUGUCGUAGGGGGGAGGGGGGCGAAGGCAAAGCCGCGAGCGCGGCGAUCGGCGGUCGCGUGACAAGAAUUGAUGCGGUCACAGGUACGUGGAGCUUGUUACGUGGACGGCAAUUAAUGCCUCGCUGCCGGCAAUUGUCAUUCAGAUGGUUAUCUGGAUCGGUCGGUGGCUCUCUGAUACCCGUACGAGUUGUCGGUAGACUCGCUGGCGCCGCUCACGGAUUUCUAUGCACGGGUCUCGUGCUGGUUUUCGGUUAGCCGCCUCUCCCCCGGUACGAUACGGAAAGAGUUGAAUGGAAAAUGGAAUAUGAAAAAUGGACGGCCAUCUUCCCCCCUCCUCGUCCAUAUAUCUUGCCUAUUCUGUGCGCGGCCAUUGAUCGAGCUCUGCCCAUAGAAUCUUCCGUUGAGCAUCGGAACGGGGGUUGACGUUUCAGCCUCCUCGCGAAAGCUCGUUCCCCGAAAGAAUUACAAUUACAAUCGGGCGCGGAUAGGCUGCUGCUACCACUGUUACCUUUGAAACCCGGCCGGCCGUAUCGCGACGCAGGGAUCGCGGGUCGGUUUUGAUCCGGCGUCGUCGUCGUCGCCGCUGCCAAUAGAAACCAGUUUGUACGACUCAUUCGCGGAGUCACGAAUAAAGUAACUUAUCGCGGCGUGUGUCGUACAAGCCGGGCAAUAUAUUUUCGUGCGGCUAGGAUGCGCCGCGAGCAACGAAAGCUCGUGGUUCACGAUAUGCUCCCCCCGCGAAACCGGCGUCCCUCCCCUUCGAUAACGGUAAUGGAAUACGUUCCGUGCCUCCUUUCCACGAGGAGCAUCGGAGUUUAUCGUCUGGUCUAACCGAGGCUGAACAGGCAGCAGAGUCACCGGUAUCGUUUGUACGUCUCUAUGGAUAUCGAUCUAGAAGCGGAAAGAUCGUGUAACACCUUCUAACUUCUUCCCUCGCCUCCCAGCUUCGCGUAAUCCGUUAGAGUCGGUAGUAAGAGCCGUUGUUUCGUUCGAUCGAUAAGCCCGCGUCACGAACGGAUCCACGAACGAAAUGAAUAACUGGUAUCUCGAAAAUGUUGGAAAUGUUCGGGGACGUUUAAUCGGGGAUUCAAUUGGUUUUUAAUUAACGAGCUAUCGGGGAGAGUAGUUGAACAAACGUGAGUCAGCAUAUUUUUUUUCACGCCCCAACGUUUGAUCCUAACGAUCCUCUGUCUGGGAAGAAUUCAAUCUCAAGAUUGGAAGAAAAAUGUGCUGUGUGAAAUAGUGCGUUGAAUUUAAGCUUUCCCGGUCGUGAUGUAACAAUUCCACGUAUCGUUUCGGAGAACGGUACGCCUCCUGGAUCGGGUACAAAUCUUGGUGAACGGAAUCCCGCGCGGAAUCCCGAAAGAUCCAUGGGACGGCUCAGUCAGCGUAUUUCACCGUGCAGAUAUUUAGACGUCGACUAAACUUUUCGCCAGCCCGAUUUGCAAAGAUGUGUACUCUUCUCGCGGCACUCGAGCGAGGUUUUCUUCGAGCAACGAUCGUGUGGCACGCUUCCAAAUUCGAUAAGGAUCCAGCGGACGUAGACGAGAGAGGAGCAAUUGGCCAACUUUGGGUCUGGCACGGCGAAAAGAAAAGCAAGAUGAACCGAAGCAGAUAGAGGGAUUUAUUAUCGCCCUCCUAGAUCCCCUCCUCUCCUCUCCUAACUUCCUUCCUUCUUCAUCACCACCCAUUAAGCGUUCUGGCCGAUUAACAGGCAAAAAAAAAAAAAAAAAAAACGGGUACUGGAAGAAUAUGUUACGGAUUAAGCGCAAACGAUGGCGCAAAAUGGCCAGAGAGAGUCGAUAAAGCUGGGAACGAGCUCUUGUAUUCUUCGUGCGAAAAAAAGGGGGGGAGGGGGAAAAAAAAAGCGAACGAUCGUUACAUUCGUGUCGGAUACGAGGGCGAUAUUUUCGAACGAACUAUUCGAAUCAAUUAUCCGUCGUAAAAUUUAGUUAUCCGUAGAUGGCAAUAUCUCUUUGACGAACGUGGUAAUAAAUGUUGCAUUAACUCGAUUAUUUAAGCGAUAUUGGGAAUUGAUUCUGUGAUUGAAAUUCUACAUGAUUUGAUAUAAAAUUGGUUUAAAAAGAGGAUGGAAUACGGUACGUUUCGGUGAGUAACGGUAUGAAACGAACGGUCUAAUUAUCAUCCACUCGUCGAGGAUCCAUUCCACAAGAUUCGAAGAGAUUAACCUUUUAACGUGACUCUUCCCGCCUAAUUAUAUUGAAAAAAUUCAAUUUCCGUAUUUAUUCUUUUCUCUCGAAUCUCAAGCGAAUCGAACGCAAAACAACAACUUCCCCCUCCUCUCCUCCUCCUUCCCUCGACCAAUGAAUCUUUCCAUGAAUUAAACAUGUUACAAUUACCGUAUACAAAAUUGUUCGCGUAUGAACAAGCGAAUAACACGCAAUCGAAGAGUAGAACGUCACUCGACCCAGUUACAUAGGUUUCGCCGAGUUCCACGUACUUGGAAUAAAGAAGGAGCCGUUCGAUCAAGGAAUAACGAUAAUUUCCAUACUCAAAUCGAAAAGAAAAAAAGAAAAAGUAAGAAAUAAAAGGAAUAGAGAAAUUAUUAGAGACCGAGGAAAUUAUUAAUCGCUCUCGAAUCAUUCGCGAAACCAUCGUAUCCACAACACCGGUGGUCGCUCGCGCAGACGAUUGUCUGCAGGCUUUAUAUAUAUAUAUAUAUAUCGGUACUAUUCCCGGUAACGAAGGACGAUCGAGAGACAGAGAGAUGACGUCAGGAUAGGAGGAACCGAUAGGAGGAUAGGGGAGAGAAAGGGAAAGAGAGAGCCGUCAUAUUGACGUACAUGCAUUCCGGUCGGCACAUAUUUGUAAUGCAAAUCUUCGCGGAGGUCGAACGGGGGUGGAGAUGGUGGGUUUGGGGGAGUUAGCUGGCGCGGAUAGAAAGGGCCGUCCAUGAUAUACACGCCGAUGACAAAUAGCCAGGGAGAGAGAGUUGGCUCGGUGCGCACGAUAUUACGAAGGGAUACGCCCAUACAUUUCGCGCCGCCAACGUCCACCACCGUUCGAUUUCCUUCCGUUUUCCCUGCAAAUUCUGCAUCCGUUUUUCCGCGUCCCACUCGAAACCUCUUUUUGCCGAGACCAAGGCCAAGAAUUGUUUCCGAGUCGACUCGAGCGAGCGUACACGCGGUCGGCGAGAAUUGGUUUCCGAAUCGUUUUUUCAGAGGGAAGAAUCGAACAGAACGCGAUUGCGAAGGUGUCACUCAAGCCAUGUAUAAUUCCAUGGUGAAUUUGUUUCGUCGAGAUUAACGGGGAAGUCCAUGCAAAGUUGCAAAAAAAUUCUCUUCGGGGGUUCGUCGAUCUUUCUUUCGUCCUCUCUCUCUUUCUCUCUGUCAUUUGCAACGCUUCGUUUGCAUCCCCCCUUCCAUCGAUGGGGGAUAUUUUUCGUGGACAGAAAUGUUUCUGACGUGUAUCCUUCCUCCUUCCGAUCGUUCGUUACUCUUAUCACACAUCGACGUGCUUCCACUUUAUACUAUAGGCGAACCGUUGGAAAGGAUGAUCGAAAUUUGCCGGGGACAAAAAUGCGGAACGGUUAAUUCAACAGGCCGAAGGUACACACGGUACGCGAUACGAGGCGAAGCGCGAUGUGAAAAUAUAAAUAUACGCGACAGGGGAGGUUCGUCGACCUGCCCUAUCCAUUUAUAACUCUUUUAUAACCCUCUCUCGUUGGCCGCGGCCGUGACGCUUCAUUUAUCCUGUGAUCAGCAGUGGCGCGCGCGCGUACACACGUACAGUGGGGGUCCCCGAUCAUCCCUCUUCCGGCCGCGCUCUUCUGUGGCAGAAAAUUAUGUCUAAGCAUCGCGUCUAAAAACCGACAAAAGGCGGCGGUGGCGGGUAAACGCAAGAAGGACGGCCGGUCUGCAUUGUCAAAGGGGGGGAUGCGCGUCGCUGCUCGUCGAUCGUCAAAGCCUCGUCAACCCUUUCGAAAGGAAAGGAAGGAGGAGGAGGAGAGACGCGCGCUGGAUCUAGCAGGGAGAAGGAGAUGGACGAUGAGGGGGGUUGGGUCGCGUUGCCACGUUUUGCGGAACGCGCGCACGCUACGGCGAAAGGAUCUUCUCUUUUAUCUUUUACCCUUUCUUCUCCCGUGUUGCACUCGAAAAAGAAAGAUAGCGAGGGCGGAGUUAUAGGUAGAUUGCUCUUGUUUCACGAGAACGGAGGCAAAGGGGAACCGUUUCGAGGAAGAGAGAAGGGAGAAAGGACAGAGGGUUCCGUGUUCUCGAACCACAACGAACCAAGCGGCGACCAAGCGACCAUUGUACAUAGAGAUCUCCCUCGGAGGCGAUCUGCUAAUACGUCUUGCACACCCUGCGGCUGCUAUCCGUCUUUCGUUCGCCUCCGGAUUUCCUUCCUUCCUAUUCGCCUUUCAUUCGAAACCAACUUUUCAAAUCCUAGUGUUUUUCCUAUUAAUCUUCGUCCUUUUAAUCCUUUGUGUUUCUUUAACGCAUCGUAUUUUCGAGUCGAUCCUCGUUCCAAACUUUCCAUUCGAUAUUUUUUCUCGGUUAAUCUAAGAGAAUCGAGAAACAGCGACAAUUCAUGAGAAUUCGUCGCAUCGAUUCCUUCGAAAUAAUCCGUGAUUCGUGACGCAGAUUCUUCCAUUCUUCGAAUUUUCUUCUUUUCUCACCAUUGUCACACCCAUCUAUCGAACGAUUGAGCCCAAGAUGCACUCCACUCGCCUGCUAUAAAUGCAUCCGUGUCCUUUAAUCUUUGAUCGUGGUCAUCCAACGCCAUCCGCUAUUGCACGUCGUUGCAUAUGGAUACGCGUGUUCGCUUUGUUAACCACGGGGACACGAGUGGAACGAUCUCCACGCGAAAGGUGACGUCUUCUCCCGCCUUGGGACGCUACAUCCGCGACACAUCUGCGAAGAUGCGCAGACGAUAAAAUGUUCAUUUCCUCAACCAAGGUUACGUGUCGUUCUCGACGAACCGUGAGAAAGAUUAGAAAAUGGCACUUAUACAAAUACUGUAUAAUGCGCCAUUGAUUUUCUAAUUGCUUGUUUUCGUUAUUAGGCGAACCAUAAAAAACCAUAUGCGUAUAUUUAUAGGAGAGUAAUAGGAUUUCAAGGGACAGCUAUUAUCACGUAUAAAAUAUCGCAUAAAAAGUGAUGAAUAUGGAGAAAAUAUUAUAAAGAAAAUGAUUCAAUGUUUUUUUUUUCUUUAUAAUAUAUUUUCUCUGAAUAAUAAUCCAUCCUGCAUUUUGUUUACGUCGAUUUCUUCGCGAUCAUUUAUAUAUUGGUCGAUCAUAUAUCAUCUAUUAAUAUCUUUUUUUUUUUUUUCUAAAAUGAAAUAUCUCGAAUAGACGUCAAUCGUACGAGAAAUCACUAAGGUUUCGAAAAACACAAUCGAACAAAAUGAAUCCUCCGGCUUGCCGGAGGAAGAAAAAGCGGCUCUUAUCGAGCGGAGCGAGCCGCAAUAACCGCUGGGUCACUGAUUAAUUUCAUUUGUCAUCGACUUGUCGAUGAGCGAACGCGAUUUCAAGGGUCCGGCCAGCCGCUGUACCCCAUUACGAUCUGUCCUAGACGUCGAGGGCGAUAAUUUGUUCGUCGUCCAAUCGCGGCUGGAAGAAACGACAGAAGUGACGUUGACGGAAACGCGUUUUUCGGGAUCGCGAGAGAACUCGUCAAAAUUAAUCGCCGCGUCCAUGUUCUAACCACCGUUUUCCGUUCGGCGCCUAACGAUAUCAGAACGGCGAAACGAUCGUUGUUAACGUCGCUUCCGUAAUUGUCGCGGCGAAUUCAUUCGAUUCGUUCCAUUCCUCGUUCGUUCGUUUACUUUUUUUAUUUUUUUUCCCCCCCUCGUUUGAUUUUUUCAUUUGCCUCUUAGGAUCCGAUCUUCCGAUUAUAAAAUGAAAUAUUUUCGUUUUAUCCCAUGAUCGUUUCGAUUAUAUUAUCCGAUUCGCUACGUCGAGCAUUAAAUUUACAAUUGAAUUUCGAGCGAUCGAUUAUUCCUUCGAUGCUCACAUCCGAUGUACUCGGGAUUGAAUGUCUCGUUUCAUUAAAAAUGUUUUAAUGAAUAAAUUUUUAACCGCGUAUCAGGGAGGAUAGAGGGGAGGGAGGGGAAAGUUAACCAACGAUCUCCCUGAUUAAAACUUCUAAUUAUUUAUACGCGUGCACAACAAAGUAUCAAAUGUUAUUCGUCGCGCUUCUUUGAAUGCAACGGGAGCCAACUUCUAUUCACAAAACACGUACAACCGGUGAUAUCGGGCGUGGAUUAAAUUUUUCGCGUAAAGUGGAAAAUUUAUUAUAAUUUUAUCCGAUCCAGCUCACCUCACCCAGGAAUAUGAAUAACUUAUUCAUUAAGCGUAUCAAGGCCUUUCCUCUCUGUUGCCUGCGAUUCAAUCAAUUCUUUCGAGCCGCUCUGCUUUUUAAUCCCUUUGUUACCCCCCCUCGUGACUGUAUUAUAGAUCAUACAUAUCUAUCUAUAUCCAUCUAUAUCUUCCCUAUAUAUAUAUAAUCUUUCAUCUUCUACUCUUUGCAUUUUUUUUUUUUACUUCAUCAAGCCAAAACUUAAGAUAUUCGAAAUACCCUUCGACCCGUUUGAUCCCGUCUCGCAUCCUUUUCUCCCUUCCUUCCCUUUGUCUUCGUUCCUCCCACGAGUCAAUUACCUCGCGGACAUUGCCGGAUAUAGAAUAUUAAGGUAGCGCCGGUGGCGGACGUUACAACGGUGACGGGCAUCGGGGAUCCAAGUUUUAACUACUUCCGAGAUCGGGUCUACAAUAAUCCAGGACUCGGCUGCCACCGACUUAACGACAGCCGGUAGGGGGAAGAGCGGAUGGGGAAACGAAACGUAGCGGAGAAAAAUAGGGGUAGGGGAGGACGAUUCAACGGAAGAAACACGUUGUCGGCGAUGUCGAAAUGGAUUCCAAGCUUUAUAAAGUCUUGUCUUUUCAUUCGCUUCAUUCGAUUUGUUUUUCCACGGUGGUUGUUGUGAUUUAUUGGUUAAUCGUUCGACGAUUGAAUAAUUCUUUCUUACGUAGCAAAAAUAGAAGUUACGGAUUAUAUUCAUUUGAAAUUUACUAAAAUGUCUCUAGCAUUUUAUUUUAUUUUAUAUAUUUGAAAUUCUAUGUAUUUUAGAAUUUAGAAUUUAUAUUUUUCUAAAAAGGCAGAAAGAAAAUGAGAACUUAAAGAAAUAGCAGAGUACGUUAAUGUUUGAUAAUCCGAAAUUUUCAUUUCGUCUACUAUUUAAUCGUAGAAUAAAUAAAUCAGGCUCUCUAUCUAAAUCUUACUUUCGAACAAUUUUUGAAAUUGAGAAAUGACAAUACACGGGAAAUUUGGAUUCAACUAACAUUACAACGAACAUAUUUAUAUUUAUAUUUUUCUAAAAAGGCAGAAAGGAAACGAGAACCUUUUUAAUUUUAUAUUAUUCAGAAUAUAUAGAUAAAGACACUUUAAAGAAGUAGCGGAGGGAACACUUUUUCACGGUUUACUUAAACCAGCUGCUUCGCUUCACAAAAUAUCAUUGUAUUUAACAUUUCUAAACGUUCAAUAACCCGAAUUUUUCAUUUUUUCGCGCUAAUCGUAGAAUAAAUAAAUCAGACUCU
Long non-coding RNA from Apis cerana (Asiatic honeybee), 22087 nucleotides. RefSeq lists it as uncharacterized. Lineage: Eukaryota; Metazoa; Arthropoda; Insecta; Hymenoptera; Apidae. The record is from RefSeq and is a predicted model, not a curated record.